GUGCCGCGCCGCGAGGAGUGGGCAUGGCGGACGGGACGCGUUCGGUGCGCGGUUGCAGCCCGGCCUCCAGCCCGGUGCUGGGCGGCCGGGUACGCGCUGCGGCGGCGGCGGCGGCGGGGGGGAGCAGCAGCCCGCCGGGCCACGGCUUCCGCAGGGUGACCCUCACCAAGCCCACCUUCUGCCACUACUGCACCGACUUCAUCUGGGGGCUGGCCGGCUACCAGUGCGAGGUUUGCAACUUCAUGUCUCAUGAAAAGUGCCUCAAGAAUAUCAAGAUACCAUGCUCAUGUAUUGCUCCCAGCCUUGUGAGGGUUCCAGUUGCACACUGUUUUGGGUCUCCAGGACAUUACAAAAGAAAGUUUUGCACUGUGUGCAGAAAGUCACUAGAGUCACCUGCCCUUCGAUGCGAAGUUUGUGAGCUGCAUGUGCACACAGACUGUAUCCUGUUUGCUUGCAGUGACUGCCGGCAGUGUCACCAGGAUGGGCACCAGGACCACGAUACCUAUCACCACCACUGGAGGGAGGGAAACCUUUCUUCAAGUGCCCGUUGUGAAGUCUGCAAGAAAACCUGUGGCUCCUCUGAGGUGCUCUCUGGCAUGAGAUGUGAAUGGUGCGGCAUCCUGGCUCAUGCUGCUUGCUACGUAAUUGUCGCACCAGAAUGUACUUUUGGAAGAUUAAGGAAUAUGAUUCUGCCUCCAAGCUGCGUGCAGUUAUUUUCUCGCAACUUCAGCAAACUGCAUUGUUUUCGAGUUACAGAAAAUUUGCAAACAGAACCAGAUGAAGAUGAUGAUGUUGAUGGGUCAACACAGGGCUCAACAAAAGAUGUCCAAAUUUCAACAGAUUCAAGUAAGCAGAAUUUCAGUAAACAGACAUUAAAGAUAUUUGAUGGGAAUGAUGCCGUGAAACGCAACCAAUUUCGGCUGAUUUCAGUUCCAAGGAUUGCAAAAAAUGAAGAAGUUGUGGAGGCUGCUUUGAGGGCAUACUACAUAAAUGAUGACCAGCAGGAGUAUGAGCUUCAGACCUUUACACAGCAGGCGCUGCUGUCUGAUGAUGUUAUCAACAGGAACGAUGCUGCAGAGGACAGCAACUUGAGCUCGGUAUUCCGUGAAUCCGUUCCUGAAGUUUGGAUCAUCAGAGCUAAACCAAAGGACGAGGAGGUGAUCAGAAUCUAUCCUGCCUGGCUGAAGGUGGGAAUGGCAUAUGUCUCUCUACGAGUAAAUAAGGAUAGCACUACACAGGCUGUCAUCAAAGAAGUGCUUCCAUUACUUGGAAAGCAGACGGAGUGCCUCAAGAAUUUCAAAUUGGUGGAAGUUCUUAUGGGCAGUAAGCAAGUUCAGCGCAUGGUGUUGGACAAUCAGGAACUGAUUCUUAACAGACUCAAGGACAUAAGAAAGACUUCAAUACGUCAGAUGAAUCAAACAAGGUUUUACAUUGCGGAAAACAAUAAAUCCAUCGUGCGAGUAAAUUUACUUGUUGGUGGCCUUCCACCUCAACUUUCUCGUGAAGAAUACACCAAUAUUCUCAAAGCUGAAUUAGCUAUCAAAACAAAUGUAGUAUCUGUGAGUCAUGUUUAUCAAGCACAAGGUGCUGUUGUACUCGAAAUUUCAUGUUUUUCUGAAGCUGAAAGAAUAUAUAUGCUAGUUAAAGAUACAACUGUCAAUGACAAGCCUCUAAACGUUGUGGUGAUUCCUGAAGUUAUGGCUUCCAAAAUACCACAGAACUGCUGCCCAAUUCUUGUAUUUGUGAAUCCAAAAAGUGGUGGUCUAAAAGGUCGGGACUUGCUGUACAGUUUUAGAAAGCUGCUAAACCCACAUCAGGUCUUUGAACUUACCAAUGGUGGCCCAUUGCCUGGGUUUCAUACAUUCUGUAAAGUCCCCUCCUUCCGAGUGCUGGUGUGCGGAGGGGACGGCACCGUUGGCUGGGUCCUUGGUGCACUGGAGGAGAUCAGGCACAAGCUGGCGUGCUCAGAGCCCUCAGUUGCCAUCUUACCUUUAGGGACAGGUAAUGACUUAGGGAGGGUCUUGCGCUGGGGAGCUGGCUACAGUGGAGAGGACCCCUACUCCGUUUUGGUUUCUGUGGAUGAGGCAGAUGAUGUUCUUAUGGAUCGCUGGACUAUUCUUUUGGAUGCAGACGAGCCAGCUGAAGGUGCAGAGAAUGGUGUUGCAGAACCUGAACCUCCAAAGAUUGUACAGAUGAACAAUUACUGUGGUCUUGGCAUUGAUGCAGAGUUGAGCUUGGAUUUUCAUCAUGCUAGAGAAGAAGAACCAGGGAAAUUCAACAGCAGGUUCCACAACAAAGGAGUUUACGUGAAAGUUGGGCUGCAGAAGAUAAGUCAUACCAGGAAUCUCCACAAAGACAUAAAGCUUCAAGUGGAUCAGCAUGAGGUGGAGUUACCAAGUAUUGAAGGACUCAUUUUUAUUAAUAUACCCAGCUGGGGGUCCGGAGCUGACCUCUGGGGGUCCGACAGUGAUAACCGCUUUGAGAAGCCACGCAUUGAUGAUGGGCUGCUGGAAGUUGUUGGUGUGACUGGCGUCGUUCACAUGAAAACUGCUGCUGGAAAAAGUGUGUGUGAUCACGUAAGUAGAGACAACUAACCCAUACAACCAGCAAGAUGGAAAGGUAGGUGCUUAAAACUGUUUGUGCAGCUUGAUCUUUGGUGUUGGCCAACUUCACCAUUUUGUAAUUUAGAUCUUUUAAGGAAGACAAAUAUAAAACAUUCUAUUACAAGUAGUAUUUUGGCAGAGAUCAUUAAAAUCUGUGUGAAAUGAGAAGCAACAAGGUGUAUGCCCAUUGCUUUGGAAUAUAAAUGUUAACAAACGCAUGCUCUGGUUUUGUGAUCUUCUCUUAAGGUUUUUACCCCAUGUUUAGUGUCUGUACACAUUCCCCAAGAGAAUGUGUAGCAGGAAAGUUCAUUUUGCUUUGCUUUUUACAGUCAACACUGAACUGUUAGUUGUAGUUGAGUAUAUGUAGUUGAGUACGUAGUACAUAUAGAUAGAUUAGAUAUAUAGAUAUAGAUAUAGAUACGGAGUUGAGUUUGGCAAAACUCUCUCUCCCUGUUUGAUAAAGUGCUUUUAGACCCCUGAGUUUCACAUGUAUGUGCUGGUCUGUGUGUAUAGUUAGGUGUUUUGAAACUGUGUUUACUAUGUUAUGGAUGGGGGAAGUAAAAGCAAACAAGACCUUUGUGAGUGCAUGCUCCUUGGCCAAGCUGAGUGUACAGAUGGCUUCACUGUGUAAGUUACUUUGCCAGCAACAGCCCGCAGGGGUAUCUGCAUUCUUCUUCAUGCACCAACUUAAAAUAAUUCAUGCUGCAUCAGUAAAGGCAUCCUCUACAGGUUUUGCCUAAGCAGUAAAAUAACUUAAAAUGUCAGGUGACAAUAAAAUUCUAACCACCUAGAAGUGUAGCUAAUAUUUAUGCUUCUUGUUUAUUGGGGUGACUGAUAUCUUGGCUUUUACUUCCUAACAGGGUCAAGUCCAAGGUGGUUUUCGAUCAGGCAUCCGCAUAGCCCAAGGCUCAUAUUUCCGUGUAACACUCCUAAAGCCAAUUCCAGUUCAAGUUGAUGGAGAGCCCUGGAUUCAGGCCCCUGGACAGAUUAUAAUUUCCGCUGCAGGACCAAAGGUCCACAUGUUGAAAAAAUCCAAGAAACAGAAAAAAACUGGAAGCGUGAAAGAGAUGCGAGGGGAUAUGUCCGUCUCUGAAGGAGGACGCUAAGUGGAGACCUGUGCUCAGAAGAGAUGCAGCAGACCUACUUUAGAUACCAAGACGGCUUAGUAAAACAGAGUGCAGACAGCUAGUGAAGAGAGUUGCUUAUGAGCGUGCCUUUCAUUACAUUUUGAUAGUAUCAAGUUCUAUUUUGUCUUUCAAAGAUAGUGCCUCAUUGUUAAAAAUAACUGUUAUAUACCACUUGUCACAUCUGAAAUGUUUACUUUGGGUUGCUUUUCCAUAAGCUAUUUCCUACUUUUCCAUGUAUAUAGAAACUGAGGCCAAACAGAAAUUCCAAGAUGCUGAGAUUUUUGAUCUACCUUUACAAAGACUCUUCCCCUCCUCCCAGCCUUCUCUUAAAGAAAACCAUUCCAUAGAUAAAUUUUGGUGCAUUGUUCCAGAAAUCAAUAUGUGUUCCUCCCAGCCAAAAAAGGGCCAAGACAUGAGCUGCUGAAAACUCCUUGGAUCAUUCCAAACAGCAAAGCUGAAACAGUACUACCGUAAAGAGAAAAAUACAAAACACAGGAAAGAUGAUUUCUAUUAAAGGAGCCCUUUGCUCUGGGAGGACAGGAAGUACUAGAACAGUUGAGUCAAAAUAUUUCAGAGUUUAGUUCAACAGUAUUUGGACAGAAUGAAUGAAGGGGAAACAGUUUGUAGAGCAAGUUUUCAACUGCAGCUUAGUUUCUCCUAUAUUAUUCAGCCAAACCCUAUUUUAAAAGGCAUUCGAAUUUCAGCAGCUACACUCUGAUACGAAAGAGGAACGAGAACACAUGAGGUGGUAUUAUAUUCUACUGAUGGUUUUCUAUCAUUGAAACCAUUACCUUUGACACCAGACUUUUCUUUUUGUCUUUACUUGUGAUUAAUUUGUCACAGUUGGACUGUUAGCUAACAGCAAGCUAGAAGACUAAAAGAAUAAUCACUGAUUAGGGUAAAAGAAGUACCAUUUAGCAUUCACGUCAGUAAAUGAGCACAGUCAUAUGUUAGAGCUGAACCGAAGUAUAGCAUACCUUCACUGAGGAGCCUGAGGAGGUACUGAAGCCUGUAGUGUGUGCAUAACAUGCUGCAGGUUCCAGGUAACUGGGAAUGCAACAGCCGUCAUGAAAACUCACUUACCUGGACAGCCUCCUCAAGGCCUUGGUAGAUUUUAUCAGUGUGGGCCCAGGGACACAGUGGCUGUCUUUUCUCACUUGGUGUGUGUGUGUGUGCUUCUCAGAGGCCAUUCCUCCGUCAUGUCCUGUGACAUCACCUCUCUGUGCUUACCAUUUGCUGAAGAUGUGGGGAUCCAGUACUUCUUUUUUGUGGGGAUCUAGAAUAGCUUCCUGCUCGAGACUGGCAUUAGAGCAGACAUGAUGAUCUGCCAUGCACUAUUAUACAUCUGCUGUCCAUGGCCGUAGUCGUGUUGGCCUUCACUUGCAUCUCUGCUGGUCUCAUCUCACUGUGGUUCUCUAGUGACUGAACCUUUCACUUCAGGUCAGCAUCAUACACAAGGGGCCCUCUGAGCCAGUUGUGCUGCUUGGUUUUGCCACUUGUGUGCAUCUGCUGCUUGGAGAUACUUUAAGCUAUGUUGGCCAAAACCCCCUUUGCUAGCCAAGUGGGCUUACUUGUCCUCUGCUGCAUGGUAAUAACUAAUCUAUCUAUGGAUGGUAUGAAUUAAUCACUCAAGCUUUAGGAGCGUUCCUCUUGCCAAUGCCUCUAGGGAAACUUCUCCAGCUGCUUCAGGGGACUGUAGUAUAACUUUGAAAUACACAAAAGCUGUUUUGUGUUGAAGCCAGUCACGUGCUUAGGCAGUUCUUGGUGGGUCUUGCUCAUCAGUAUGUACUCUAAGCACUGUGCCAGCUUCAGCUACAUCUGAUCAGUACCUGCGCUUUCUGCUUUCCAGUCAUAGUGCAGACAAGCGUGUCAAUGUGGGUGCUGCAAGACAGUCAUCUGUAGCAACAGAAUGAUACAGCUAAAGCUAUGAACAAACAGCCAUGCAGAAAUGGCACCUGCCUGCAGCUUCUCCCUCCUAUUCAGUGAUUCCUUCUAUUCUUAGUGUUCUAGUAGAGAUGCAUUUAGAGGACUGACUCGUGUUUUCAGUGAAGCCUGUUAAUUGUUAAAAUUGUUCAUUUAAUUUUAGGGAUGUUCUUCAUGUUCACCAUGUGGAUUACAUGUUAUCUCUUUAUUCAGCAUGCAAACUGGAGUCAUGCUAUGAAGGAGAUAGUGUGGAUAGUAGAGAUAAAAUCCCCAUCUCCUGAACAUUAAAUACAGGGUUGUCUCUGCUUCAGAACCUGGGCAUGAAGGAUCAGCUGAAGCUCUUCUGACAUCGUGGUACCAGCAUUACAAAUAAGAAGGGUAAAUUGUUGUAUUUCAGGGUAUGCUCUCUCAGGAUGAAGCUUACAAAUUAGAGAGGAAAUGUGAAAUUGAUUGCUGCUUGUAGUUGUCCAGAAAGCCAGAGAAAUUGCUUUGUGCCCUCAGAGCAGGAGAAAGAAUGCAUGGUCUUUUUUCCAGUGGCUGACUCAGUAAUGGAGAGGAAAACUUGACUUUUUGUUACAGAAAACAUGUGUAAGCUUUCAGCUUUCUGGUACUGACCAUCUUCUGCAGCCUAAGUAAAUCAACCUGUCUUACUGUUUUUCCAGACGUACAGAAUCCUGCAGCUGACAGUGUUUCAUGUUCUUGGCUCAUUAAGGAUCUGUCUCUCUCUUCCUCUUGCUCAGUAUCUGUUAUCUGAAAUAACAUGAAACUCUCGGGUCACGGUAUUUUAAUCAGAGGGCCCCUUACUGUGGCAUAUCCUUCCAUGGGGAUUUUCCAGCCCUGGAACACUGCACCAGCCUGUGUUAGGUAAUGUUGUGGUAGCAAGGUGACAGAAUGUGUUCUCCUCAUGACUGUCAGAGGGGAUCCUGGUGCAGAACAGGAAGGCUUUGAGUUUUCUUUUUUUUUGACUUUUUCUUUUCUUCCAGAACCCAACUCCUAUGUGUUGUUUCAGCAGACAAGUGCCACACUGGAAUGAAAACAUGUCUUAAGAAAAAUACACCUAGCAUUUAAGGUCUCUGUGCAUCAUAAAAUAAUGCUUGGUAUGUUUUGAAGACAAAACAGAUUCCUGGGCAGUUUAGAUAGAAAAGCUGCUGUACAGCUUUUAAAAAGGAGAAACUCAAUGUUUAACCCCUCUAUUAAGAUGUUCCUGUUUUAUCUGUGUGUGUAAAGGCCUGCAUAUCAAGAUACAUUUUUUUCUUACGUUUUCAUCACACAUAGUAUCUGAGAAGGUCUAGUAUUUUCUUCCAUAGUAUGUAAGACUUCCUUGAAGAGAGUAGAUAACUCUUUGCAGUUAAUAUGAAACAUUUUGAGUUAUUUUGACUUAUCCUUUACAUUGAGCAAAACAGUGCCAUAUAAUUUACAUGGUAGUGGGCAGAUAACUGAUUCUUAGCACUGAGUCUUUGAGUGCUGUGAGAACCUAGUGGUAACUUGUCCAAGUGCUUUAAAUAAUUCAGUAACAAAAGUGUUGGGAAGAGGCUUGGUUCUGUCAAAAUUAAGUGUCAAUCAACAUCAGGGACACAGGACCAGGAACCGUCAUCUAUAGACAAGGAGGAGACGCGGGCUCAUUACUACUCUGAGCACACUCUCUGCACUGCCCUGCCCUUUACCUUGCCUGUAAACCAUGGCAGGCACAGACAGCAAAGCUAGCAUCUCUCCUGCCGAGAUAUGCGUUCCAGACCUUUUACUAGUGUCCUACAAUUCUUUGCCAGCAUGGGGGAGAGAAGGGUCCUGAAAACCAUGCUUCAUUUCAGAUACCCCGCUCCUGCAGACAAGAGAAGGUGGUCAGCUGGUUAAAAUCUGUUUCGAGGGGUAAAGACAUUACCUCUGUCUUGAAUUAGAACCCAAAUUCGAAGGCUCAUCCCUAGGAUACAGGUGCUACUUCAGAACAUUUGCUGCUUUUCCCCCAUGGCUUUCACACUUGAUUUGUAUAGUUAAAACUGAUACUUUUAAUUGCAUUGAUUUUUAAAUGAAACUGUUAUUUUGCCAAAAACUUUUUCACGUGCACAUGAAACACACCCUUUAAAAAUAAGCCUUAUUGUAUUUCCUUUCACAGUGCCUACCUGUACAGCUUUUGCUGUGUUACACCAUUCUGAUAGCACUCACUUCUGGAUCUUUCUCUUACCAAUUUUGGACAGGAGGCAGAGCUUGCUCUCUUUCUGCUCCCUCUGAGUUUCCCAGCACAUAUUUCUAAUGGGCAUGUGCUUUACAAGAAGACAUGAUGCCAAUAUAAUGAAAGCACAACUGUGUUUAUAGUACAGUCUCUGCACAGUUUGAGCUCCUCUUGCUCUUUUAGAUUUUAAUGAAGUUUGUGCAUGUCUAAUGGCAGUGGCUAUUUCAGCAUUUUAAAAACUAGAAGAAGCUGUAGCAUAGUUCACUGCAAGACUUAAAUAAGGGAGAAAACUAAAUUAACUGGUAUAGACAAUUGUUCAUUAAUCUUCACAGUUACCCUCUUACAAGUAUUGUGCAGAUUGCAUUUCUUUAAAGAGCAAACAAUAUACUCACUUUGGAAAUAUCAGCUGUUUGGAAUUGUUAAGCAUUUACGCAUGCACAUUAGUCUGCAGCAGUCUGUUGGCAUAUAAAUGUGACAUUAUGAAAUGAAGCCUCAUUUUGUGGGAGCAGAAGGUAAGAGGAGCUGUUGUGACACAUAAAAAGGACUUAAUGUCACUCAACAGAUUUAGCUGCAUAGGUGUUUUGUAAUGUACUGACUGUGUGCAGGUACACCCUGUGUGGCACAGCCAACGAUCCAUACUCCAGCACUGAAACUGGGGAUGCGCUGGAGGGGUGAGCUUGAGUGACCUGGCAUUAGAUACUCUCAGUCUGUGCCUCAUACCUCUUCCUUACAACCUUCACAGUAACUGUGCUUUUCCUCUUCCGCUAGGCUGCCUCCCUGCCCUUUGGACCCCACUGAAACUAGUAACAAAGGCAGGAGUCUGUGGUGGUGAAGGUGUGUGGAGAGCAGGGGAACGGACAUCCUGCUCUAGAACAUGGCCCUGGCUGUUGGGCUUAGACUGCUGGUUAAUUUCUUCUUCAGCUUCUACUUCAGCCAUUUAAUAGCUCUCCAGUAAAGACUCAGCAACUACUGAACUACCUUGGAUUCAUGGUGACAAGCGUUGCCUCAUCUUUAGGUUUUGAUCUUAUAUGUACCAGGGCAUGUAUCACUUCAUACACGUUUUGCACUUAACAGAAAAUCCAGGUUAGACAGGCUUAGAGUGUGGCAAAAUUGCAAUGUUUGUACUUUUUUGUAGAUAUGGGGAUGAUUCUACAGAUACAAAGAUGCACUUUCAGGUAACGAUGAAAACAAGUUUGUAGAAUGCAACUGUUUAGGAGUCUUACUGCAGCAUUCCUUGCUUUAUACUGUGUCCUCCUUGAAAGCCUGCUUGGGAAUGAGAGAUGGUAUCUUCCUCCCAUUGCAGUACGUAUUUAUAGCUGACUGACUGAAAAUUCAUAUAUAUUUUUGAACAGUUACAAUUGGCUGCUAUUCUAAGAUUUAGUUUUAUUAGACUGAUUUUAUAAUGCAUAAAAGCAAUGUUAAAGUUUUAUUUAUAAUGUCAACAGAUACUGAUUUGACACUUGGCUUGUAGGAGUGAUCCAGCUUAAAGCCUUCAUUCCUUUUGCUAGUUAAUGUAAUUAACAGUGUAGCCAUUGUACGUGUGCAGUGAAAUGAGUGCAAAUUACUAAUCUUAUCUUGCAGUUAGACCAGCAGUUUCAAUGUUUACAGGACAGUGACUAUUGAUUGUAAACCCAUACAUGCUUAUUGAAACAGUGCAGUCUUUCAGUGUUUUGGAAGCAUUGUUUGUGCUUUCCAUAACAAUUAAUGAAAAAAUCGCCUUCUGGUUUAGAUUCCUGGUUAUGUCCCUUUGGAAAGAUUUAAAUGGGGAUUAUGACUUUUCUGCCACCCAAAGGACAGAAUUUCUACUGAUGCAAGUGUUGUACUGAACAUGUUUUCUGAAAGAUUGCCUUUAUUUUUUGUGAAGAUAUUUAUGAGCAUUCAGUGUUGUUGAUAAAGUUGGUCUGAAGUCUUGAAAUAAAUGUGUAGUUAUUAAAGAUGUAUCCCAAAGCAAAGUAUUUUUUAAUUGGGCACAGUUACUGGUGUGGUUAUCCUUCUGAGCUCUCCUAGCAACACACCCACUUAACAUUCACUGUGCACAGCUCCUGUGUGUUACUUAGGAGAUGACUUGAUUGAAGAAGAUGUGGGUUCGCUUACAUUGUGCGUGUCCCAUAUCACUCCUCUGGCAGCAACUCCUAGUUACAGACAUGGGCUGUGAAGGCAGAACCUCUUCCCCAUGCACAUCACCGCAGAUGAAAGAGCAGAGAGUCUGCCUGUGUGCCUGGCUGCAGGGCCGUUUGGCACUUGCAGUCCCCUCCCUGUCCACACACCGGGUGUGCCAUGCAUUAGCCCUUUUGUUUUCUGACAGAAGGAAGCUGCAAAUCUACAUGUGCCCAUGUGAGUCAGUUACCAGCUUGCCUCGCUGUGGCAUCCCUUUCUUUGUGCUGCUGACCUUGCCAAACUGGGUAGCAAGAGGUGCUUGAAGAAUUACUAUCUAUUGUGUAAUUUUUAGGUGCUUAUAAAGCCUUCACUGCUAUUUUAAAGCAAAAUUCGGGGGAUCUGUAGCAUAGCAAUAGCUUUAUAACUCCAGCUUUCUGAACAUGCCAAAAGCAAGUUAUCCUUGGAAUAGUUUAAUUAGCAAUGGUGCACAUAGGAGUAAUCAUUACCUUGAAGCUCUAAGUUCUGAUUACUGGAAGACAGCAUCUCUGCUUUGAAUGUAAAGCAUCACAGUUUAUAAUUCACUAUAACAUCCUGCAUACUUUGAAUCACCCAUCACAUCUUAACUCUUCUCAAACUAUGGUUUAAGUAUUGCUUAAAUAACUGUGUUUCUCACCUCUGGUUAUUUAAAUAGCCCAGCUUUAAGCAGUUUUAUGAAUGCUAUUUCAGUAUCAAGAUAUUCUGUCUUAAAGCAUUUCCUGUGAAUGUUCUGAUACAUUGGUAGUAAGUCAUCUUGGCCCAACAAGAUAAGGUAAGCUGACCACAGAACAGUUCAGUUAUUGUCUAGUGCUUAUUCUUUGCGCAUCUGUCUAAUAAUUCUCAGAAAAAAAAAAAAGCCUAAGUAUAAGCAUUAAAGUGAAAACUGUUCCCAUAUUGUGUGCCUCAAACCAGUAAUGCAUUAUCACACGUUUACUUGUGGACUGGUCUCAGAAACAGGCUUUUAAUGAUGUAACUUGUUUCUCAAUGUCUGCCUUGCAAAUGAGACACAUCACUAUGCUGUGGUAACUUGUCUACAAAUAACAUACUGAGUGUACUAAUUGGUUUAAAAAAAGUAAUUUAUAAAAGAUGAACUCUUCUAUUUAAACAUCUGUUUGUCCUUGGGUUAUGUUCUUAGCACAAUUCUGUAUAUAUUUUGCAAUAUGUGUGUUGUGUUUAAUUUGAUUGUACAUUUUGCACUUGAAAUUCUGUAUUCUAAGUAAUAUUUACAAGUUCCAGAGAUCUGUAAGUAGAGUUUGUGUGUGAAAAAUACAACAUCUCUUCUAUCCUG
Molecule: RNA transcript, 11241 nt
Organism: Strigops habroptila (Kakapo)
Lineage: Eukaryota; Metazoa; Chordata; Aves; Psittaciformes; Psittacidae
Gene: DGKQ
Gene name: diacylglycerol kinase theta
Exons: 23
Source: RefSeq, a predicted model, not a curated record